This 405-nucleotide ribosomal RNA is filed under the name uncultured bacterium. RNAcentral's name for it is "partial 16S ribosomal RNA". It matches the Rfam family "Bacterial small subunit ribosomal RNA", at positions 30 to 526 of the family's 1533-position model. The record is from RNAcentral.
AUUGAACGCUGGCGGCAGGCCUAACACAUGCAAGUCGAACGAGUGGCGGCCGGGUGAGUAAUGUCUGGGAAACUGCCUGAUGGAGGGGGAUAACUACUGGAAACGGUAGCUAAUACCGCAUACCAUCGGAUGUGCCCAGAUGGGAUUAGCUAGUAGGUGGGGUAAAGGCUCACCUAAGCGACGAUCCCUAGCUGGUCUGAGCGGAUGACCCGCCCAACUGGAACCUAGGCAACGUUCCGGCUCCCUCUGGAGUGAGGAGUGGGAAAUAUUGCAAAAUGGGCGAAGCCCUAAGCCACCUUGGCGGGGUUAAUAAAAAAGCCUUCGGGUUUUAAAAGUACUUCCGGCGGGAAGCCGUUCCCGGCGGAGAAGCACCGGCUAACUCCGUGCCAGCAGCCGCGGUAAUAC